CUGGGGCUCUCUCCACGUGGCCUUCACUCCAGGCUGAGGCACGAGCAGCGGCUGCUGCCUGAUUCAUGGCCAGUCACUGGCAGCCAGAAGGAACACGGCGAAUUGCUCAGGGUCAUGUAAAGCUUCUGCCCACACUGUCACUUCUGCUUGCAUGUCAUUGACCGAGGCCAGUCACAGGACCAACCCAGAUGAAUCCCUGGAAGCUGGGAAAGAAGUCCAUCUCUUCACUCAAAGUGGGCAGAAAAAAAAAAGGGCAAAUUUCCUGAUAACUAGACGCAGGCAUACUUGUCUCAUUGCUUCAGACACGAUCAGAGCCGCUCUUGGUGCGGCUGUUGGACACCUGGAAAGGCCCCGCCGGACAGACAUGUGUCUGACCAGUGACACCUGACCCCUGCCCAGAGCUGGCGACCUCGCCCUUCAGGCCUGAGAGCAAAAUGUCCCUGGUGUGACUUCAUCGCCAGAGCCAAGCGGAGGGGCCGCGCAAGGCUAUGGUGGGAACAGGAUGUGAAGCAGACACAGAGCCUGAAAUAGAAGCCUGUACGGCCACAGGAAGAGGAUGAGAAUAUGGAGGGCAGGGUGGCUACCCACUGGCCCUCUGUCAUUAGGCAUCUUUAUUGUGUGGUUGACAGAGGAGUGGGGAGUGUCCACCAGACCCAGACUGGCAGACGUGGAAUUCAGUCCACCCUGCCUCUGAUUUAAUGACCCACUGCUACAAGCCACAAGCUCUUCAUUUGUCGAUAAUUAAUGGGAGGCAUGUAGGCAGAAUCCCUUGGAAACCGCAGUCCACAGGAUGGCCCAAAGCAGGCCUCCCUGCCCCCAUGACCUAGCAUCUAGCGGGUGGGGGCGAAGAUGCUGCUAAACACCUGGCAGGGUUCAAGACAGCCCCCCACCCCAACAAAGGAUCAGCUGGCCCAAAAGGUCAUUCAUGUUGAGGUUGAGAAACCCUGCUGCUGACUGUGUGUAUUGCUUGAGAGUAGAAAUCUCAACUUACUCAGUUUUUAAUUUCCAGUGCUGUCUCAGAACCUGGCAGAGUCAGAAUCCAGCAUAUUUUGCUGUUGGUGAAUAAAUGUAUGAGCAAGGGAAUUCUCUCCUGCCUGACACAUCUGCGAUGCACAACCACCUUCAUGCAAGCACAACCCCAGGCCCACUAUUAUCUCUGUGAAUACAUCUGCACAUGAGUGCAUGCACACACAGAUGAGCACACAUCCACAGGCAUGCACACACACACACACCCACCAUCCUCCAGGCACCUGCCCGACUCCGCCGAUCACCCCUUCCCUAGUUCAUCUGAAGACCAGGGGCUUCUUUUCUCUGCUACAGUCAGAACGUCCUGGGCGCAGACAGCUCGGCAGAGGCACUGAGUGUUCUUCAUAAAUAAUUUCACUGAUUUGAGGCAUUUUCCUGUAGUGGCUCCAUGACUGACUAAGCAGCACAUGCAAAAGGGAAAAGAUCCUUUUUGCAGUUAUACACACAGAAGGCAGCUCAACAACUGGAAAAGUGACAUGUCAAUUCUGACAAUGGAGUCGUGGCCCAGACAUGUUGUAGGUGGGCCCGACUCAUUAAAUGGGGCGAUGUUGGAGGUUGCUGACAAUGGAGUAGAGGGGGCUGGAGGAACUGCAUCGGGGACUGCCAGGCCCACUGGUGGGCACCAACCAGAAGGGCACAGGAGAGUGGGAUACAAGUGGCCGUGGCACAAAGGUGCUCUUGUUUCUUUCCUGUGCUUGUCUUGUGGGAGCUGGACGAGGCUCAGAAAUGAACAGCCAACAGGAGGAAAAGCCACAGGGGAAGUGGCACAACGAUUUAGGUACCAAUUUUCCUGGAAAAAUUGGAAAAGAAGGAGUCUGGGAUUUGCCAGUUCUUGGCUCUGUGACCCAAAUCAAGUUACAAGUGACCUUUCCCACUUUGGCUCCUGUCAAGGUCGAGAUAUUGCAUGCCCACAGGCCAGGGGCUUCGCCCAUCUUGGCAAUUACUCAUCUUCAGGCAUUUCCUGAUUACUCACCCUCCUCCCCUGCUGGGCGGUAAAGUCCCUACGCAGAAAGGGUGUCACACUCAUAUCUAUGUCUCCAGUGUCUACUUUAGUAAAUGUGUGAUGAGUGAGUACAUAAAUGAAACAAUGGACGAACCCCAAUUAACUGAUUUUCGGGAGGAGGCUGGGGUAAAAGGGCAGAGUCCAGGGACAGAAGCCACAUUUGCUGUGUCAAAGAGUUUGGGGUUUUUUUCAAGAGACAAUAAAGAGUUCACCAGGGGGAUGACAUGCUAAGUUUAGUGCUUUGAAGAGAAGCCUUUGUAUAUGUACAUGUGCUGCACCUCUGAAAUUCAUAACCAAUGCCUUGAAUUUUUGUGUUUUGCUUUGAGUUUGGUUUUCAAUUGGACAAAGUGAUAAACACAUUAUCUGACAGUAAAGCCCCCUUCCUAUCAUCUUCCACCUGAGACCUAGAAUUUGUCUCUGAUAACUGUGCUUUAAUGAGUAUGUGUGAUAGGGUUUCAGUCGUGGUGGCACAUGCAUUCAAAAAAUGUAAUCGAGAAAUACACAAGCCUAUGCCAACUGGUGGCCUCCAGGAGGCAGGAUCCUUUGUGUCUUCCGCCUCAGUUACUAUUUUUUGUUUUGUCCAAACAUUCUCCAGAGCACAUGUGGGCUGAGCCUUCAUGGCCUCAGCUCUUCUUUUGAACUUCCCACCUCAUUGACCCAGGAACGCAGGCACUGCUGUGUGAGUGCAAAAUGCCAACAGCCCAGGUCCCAGUGAAUUGCUCAGGUGUGGACACUCAAAUACAAUGCCCCAAAUCCAAGUCCUCUCCCAGAGUUUUGGAAAAGAAAUGAAACUGUCUGUCUCCAGGUGGCGGGAACAUAAGGCAUGGGAGCCUGAGAGCUGGCCGCUGGAAGAGGCUGGAACAGACAAGAACAGACAAGAAAGAACUGUUUUCCAAACAAGCAGAGCCAAGAGCAGGUCGAAGGGAUUCCGUUGUGUUUCAGGGUCUGGCAUCCAGCUGUCUGGGGGCCCCUCCAUGUUUCAGUCUCCGGGUUCUUGGACCUACCCCAGUGUCUUCCCCAAACCUCUCCCUCUUGCAUUAGCUACUUUUUGUUGUAUUUCUUCCACCUGUGCUUCAACUAAUUAUAUAAUAGGAGGUGUUUUACUUUUAAGAUCAGAAAAAAAAGUUGUUGAGAAUA
Long non-coding RNA from Manis javanica (Malayan pangolin), 3166 nucleotides. RefSeq lists it as uncharacterized. Lineage: Eukaryota; Metazoa; Chordata; Mammalia; Pholidota; Manidae. The record is from RefSeq and is a predicted model, not a curated record.